CAAACAGUCAUAUUAUCAAGAUGGGCAAUGUAGUCCAGAUUCAUGAUGAUUCUCCUAGGAUAACAUGGAAGCUAGGGGUGGUAGAUCAACUUUGCCAAGGUAAAGAUGGAUAUACUAGAUAAGUGAAAAUUUGAACCAAGAACGGAUUGACUAGUCGUCCUAUUUCAAAACUUUAUCCGUUAGAGGUUUUCGAUUCAACAAUACCAUCAACAAUGCCAGCCAUAGAGACCAGAGAGC
RNAcentral lists this long non-coding RNA (237 nucleotides) under Mytilus galloprovincialis (Mediterranean mussel). The record is from RNAcentral. Lineage: Eukaryota; Metazoa; Mollusca; Bivalvia; Mytilida; Mytilidae.